Molecule: long non-coding RNA, 859 nt
Filed under: Homo sapiens (human)
Lineage: Eukaryota; Metazoa; Chordata; Mammalia; Primates; Hominidae
Description: HSALNT0376492
Source: RNAcentral
CUGGAUUGAAAACAAAUCUAAGAGCACACAUCUUGAUACGUGCAAUCACGUUCAACAGAAACUCGCCCACGUUAGGAUGUAAUCCAGAAUCCUGAAUAGACCUGAACUCGCAACAGACUGGAACGGGAAUAGAGCACCGAGGGCUGUACCCAGGGGCAGGGCAGAAGACCAGCCCACCCGCCCAGGGCCGAAUCACUCACUGGACCCGCCUCAGGUAUUCCUGAGGCGUCCUCGGGGGUACCGAGGGAUCGAAACCUUCCGUCAAGUCGCAAGGCUCUACCGGCAAUAGCCGAGGCAUCAACUCUUCCACUGCGGACUCCGCUGGUGAAGAAACUGUGCAACAUGCCCAGAUCAUACAACAAGGAAGUAAUGGAAUUGAGAUUCUAUCCUGGGCGCCAAGCCAUUGCUCUAAAUCUCUAUGCUGCACAAGAUACAGCUGAGUAAAGAUUAGUAACAACAAAAAAAAACAACAAAAAAAGACAAGUCCCAGGGAAGGUUCCUGUGAGUCUUUAUGAUCCACUGGCCAUAAAUUAGAGAGAGGCAAUGAAGACUAAAUGCGGAGAGAUCCAGUUUGCUUCCUAGUCUUAGUACAUUGCCAUCUAGGCAUGAGUAGUCUCCUUGUCUCCGUUGUCUGAGAAUGCUAUCCUCUGGCUCUGAGGUCCAGAGCCACUAAGAGAGAAUGCUGACUUGAUGUCAGAAAAUCAAGACAAGGUCUAGUUUAAUUAUGGAACAUGAAACAAAAACUUUACUCCUCUUUUGAAGUAAAAAUGCAAAUCUGUUCCGUUUUAGAGUGGGAUUUCCCUCCUUUGUUAUAUGGCUUUUAAAUUACUCAUGUUCUUUACAAAUCAAAUAAAUAAAA